AUAGAACUCAAACUCACAACUUUAUACUCUGAUGCUAUCAAAAUAACUAUUUAACAUGGCUAGGUUACUAUACUCUAACUUAUGAGUAUUAGCCCUUUUAUACUCAUAAAUUUUCAAUCGUUGGAUGAAGACAUGUACGGUUAGGAUGAUAAUGGUUCUCAAUUAGGUUAAUAGUGAUUUUUUAGAGUUGAGUGGUUGGUUGGUUGAAUAGUAUGAUCUAACGAGUGUAAAUAGUCAAAAAAAUAGAUCUACGGGUUGAAAACUUAGAAGUACAAAAAAGCCUAUACUUGUAAAAAUAUAGGACGUAUUUGGUUCGCUUCUUUUUCACCCUGGAAUCAGAAUCGGAAUGAGUGAAUCCGUUUGUAGGUGUUUGGUACGCGGGAGUUCCAUUCCGAUUCCGAUUUCCGAGUGGAAUGGGAAUCCCCCAAUCACCUUUUUUUUCAAUCCGGCCAAGGAGGCCAGCCUACGAGGCCGGAUUGGAAGUUGAAUCUGGAAGGAAUGGAUAUUUAUUCGGAUUAAAUUUAUUUUUUCAAUUUUUUAAUUAAAAUAUGAGUUAAAAUUUAAAAAUUAAAUAUAUAAUUUUAAAAUUUACUUCGAACUUUAAAUUAAAAAUUAAAAUUUAAUUAAGUAUUUCGAAUCUAACUUAUGAAUUUGAAUUUAAAUUAAAUUUUAAUUUAUAUAAAGUUUUAUUCAAAUUUUAUUUCAAACUUAAAUUAAAUUUAAGGAUUCAAAUUAAAAUUGUAAUUGUAAUUUUAAGUUUGAAUUUGAAUAAAUCAAAAUUUAGUUUUAUAUUUUGAAUUAUCCACUCAACUUCAAAGUUUAAUUUUUUUUAACAAAAAAUAGAUUUAAAAUUUUGAUAUUAUUUCAAAAUUUUGAUAUAAAUUUUUAAUAUUUAAUUUUUAAUUUGAAUUUAAAUUAAUAUAUUAUAAAGAUAAUGCUAGUAUAUUAAUUUGAUUACGUUUUUUAUAUCCACCUGAACCAAACACCCACAAUGGGAAUGAUUUAUUCCGAUUCCGAUUCAGGUGAUGAACCAAACAGAAUUAGGUAAUGAGUCAUUUCGAUUUCGAUUCCAGCUUAUUUUGAUCCCGAUUCCGAUUCCGACUCCGAACCAAACACACCCUAUACUAUUUGAACUCACUUAUCAUUACAUAUUUUAAUAUUUAUAUACAACAGUAACUAUUUUUUUAAAUUAGUUUUUUUAAAAAA
RNAcentral lists this long non-coding RNA (1206 nucleotides) under Ananas comosus (pineapple). RNAcentral describes it as "long non-coding RNA (ACOM_LNC014116)". The record is from RNAcentral. Lineage: Eukaryota; Viridiplantae; Streptophyta; Magnoliopsida; Poales; Bromeliaceae.